UGCAAUCUGUGAUGCAAUUUUUUCCCUAUUGGAAUGAUAUUUCCAUGAUUAUUACCAAAAUAAUCACCAUCUUUCGGCUGAGAUUGCA
Punica granatum (pomegranate) is the source of this 88-nucleotide non-coding RNA. The record is from Rfam. NCBI's taxonomy places the organism in Eukaryota, Viridiplantae, Streptophyta, Magnoliopsida, Myrtales, Lythraceae.